RNAcentral lists this long non-coding RNA (622 nucleotides) under Danio rerio (zebrafish). Its description in RNAcentral is "si:dkey-15k2.5 (ENSDARG00000102428.2)". The record is from RNAcentral. Lineage: Eukaryota; Metazoa; Chordata; Actinopteri; Cypriniformes; Danionidae.
AGUUUAAAUGUUUAUAUUUGCUUUUGAUGUUGUUUUUCUUCUCAAUGUUUGUUUACCCAACGGUUGGUAGGAUGAGGCGCUGGUUAGACCUUACCUGUCGCUGCUUGUGUGUGGAACUGGUGCUGGAACAAGGGGAGGGUUGAAUGUUAGCCAGCACUGCGCCGCCGGUCCAGGGCACGGGCGCUCCAGUCCCCGCAGAGCUGAGAGACUUCCCCCCGCCUCCAUCUCUCUCGCUCUCCUUCCAGUCAACGCGCAGCUCUCUCGAUCCGCUCAUUUCUCUUUCCAAAGAGACAUCCGCAUUUUCAAUCUCUCCCCUGCUCGCCGCUCUCAUCACGGACGGCUCGCCCGUUUCGCCUCCAUUCGGCAUUAUAAACACGGAGCUACCGAGGCGCCAUCAAACCCAGUGGUGCGCGCGUGUUGCACUUCGGACUUGUUUUGAACACAUUUUUCUCUUGAUUGAUCAUGCAUAUUUCAAUAAACUUUAUUAAAUAUGCUUGCAUUGUGUUUUGUGAUGACUAUUAUCAUUAUAAGACACAUUUAGUCAAGCAGGUUGCUUUCCCAGAGCGCGUGCACGGUGUGAAAGAAGAGUGAACUGUUGUGUACAUUAAACAUCUUUUCAGCA